GACGAACGCUGGCGGCGUGCCUAAUACAUGCAAGUCGAGCGGACCGAACGAGAGCUUGCUCUUGUUUGGUCAGCGGCGGACGGGUGAGUAACACGUGGGCAACCUGCCCGCAAGACCGGGAUAACUCCGGGAAACCGGAGCUAAUACCGGAUAACACCAAAGACCGCAUGGUCUUUGGUUGAAAGGCGGCUUCGGCUGCCACUUGCGGAUGGGCCCGCGGCGCAUUAGCUAGUUGGUGAGGUAACGGCUCACCAAGGCGACGAUGCGUAGCCGGCCUGAGAGGGUGACCGGCCACACUGGGACUGAGACACGGCCCAGACUCCUACGGGAGGCAGCAGUAGGGAAUCUUCCGCAAUGGACGAAAGUCUGACGGAGCGACGCCGCGUGAGCGAAGAAGGCCUUCGGGUCGUAAAGCUCUGUUGUGAGGGACGAAGGAGCGCCGUUUGAAUAAGGCGGCGCGGUGACGGUACCUCACGAGAAAGCCCCGGCUAACUACGUGCCAGCAGCCGCGGUAAUACGUAGGGGGCGAGCGUUGUCCGGAAUUAUUGGGCGUAAAGCGCGCGCAGGCGGUCCUUUAAGUCUGAUGUGAAAGCCCACGGCUCAACCGUGGAGGGUCAUUGGAAACUGGGGGACUUGAGUGCAGGAGAGGAGAGCGGAAUUCCACGUGUAGCGGUGAAAUGCGUAGAGAUGUGGAGGAACACCAGUGGCGAAGGCGGCUCUCUGGCCUGUAACUGACGCUGAGGCGCGAAAGCGUGGGGAGCAAACAGGAUUAGAUACCCUGGUAGUCCACGCCGUAAACGAUGAGUGCUAAGUGUUAGAGGGGUCACACCCUUUAGUGCUGUAGCUAACGCGAUAAGCACUCCGCCUGGGGGAGUACGGCCGCAAGGCUGAAACUCAAAGGAAUUGACGGGGGCCCGCACAAGCGGUGGAGCAUGUGGGUUUAAUUUCGAAGCA
RNAcentral lists this ribosomal RNA (954 nucleotides) under uncultured Geobacillus sp. RNAcentral's name for it is "bacterial SSU rRNA". It matches the Rfam family "Bacterial small subunit ribosomal RNA", at positions 28 to 958 of the family's 1533-position model. The record is from RNAcentral. Lineage: Bacteria; Bacillati; Bacillota; Bacilli; Caryophanales; Anoxybacillaceae.